UUGGAGAGUUUUGAUCCUGGCUCAGGACGAACGCUGGCGGCGUGCCUAAUACAUGCAAGUCGAGCGAGCGGAACCAACAGAUUUACUUCGGUAAUGACGUUGGGAAAGCGAGCGGCGGAUGGGUGAGUAACACGUGGGGAACCUGCCCCUAAGUCUGGGAUACCAUUUGGAAACAGGUGCUAAUACCGGAUAAUAAAGCAGAUCGCAUGAUCAGCUUUUGAAAGGCGGCGUAAGCUGUCGCUAAGGGAUGGCCCCGCGGUGCAUUAGCUAGUUGGUAAGGUAACGGCUUACCAAGGCGACGAUGCAUAGCCGAGUUGAGAGACUGAUCGGCCACAUUGGGACUGAGACACGGCCCAAACUCCUACGGGAGGCAGCAGUAGGGAAUCUUCCACAAUGGACGCAAGUCUGAUGGAGCAACGCCGCGUGAGUGAAGAAGGUUUUCGGAUCGUAAAGCUCUGUUGUUGGUGAAGAAGGAUAGAGGUAGUAACUGGCCUUUAUUUGACGGUAAUCAACCAGAAAGUCACGGCUAACUACGUGCCAGCAGCCGCGGUAAUACGUAGGUGGCAAGCGUUGUCCGGAUUUAUUGGGCGUAAAGCGAGCGCAGGCGGAAAAAUAAGUCUAAUGUGAAAGCCCUCGGCUUAACCGAGGAACUGCAUCGGAAACUGUUUUUCUUGAGUGCAGAAGAGGAGAGUGGAACUCCCAUGUGUAGCGGUGGAAUGCGUAGAUAUAUGGAACGACACCAGUGGCGAAGGCGGCUCUUCUGGUCUGCAACUG
RNAcentral lists this ribosomal RNA (774 nucleotides) under Lactobacillus kitasatonis. RNAcentral describes it as "bacterial SSU rRNA". It matches the Rfam family "Bacterial small subunit ribosomal RNA", at positions 1 to 742 of the family's 1533-position model. The record is from RNAcentral. Lineage: Bacteria; Bacillati; Bacillota; Bacilli; Lactobacillales; Lactobacillaceae.